RNAcentral lists this small nuclear RNA (175 nucleotides) under Xenopus tropicalis (tropical clawed frog). RNAcentral describes it as "U2 spliceosomal RNA (ENSXETG00000047375.1)". It matches the Rfam family "U2 spliceosomal RNA". Rfam says of the family: U2 is a small nuclear RNA (snRNA) component of the spliceosome (involved in pre-mRNA splicing). Complementary binding between U2 snRNA (in an area lying towards the 5' end but 3' to hairpin I) and the branchpoint sequence (BPS) of the intron results the bulging out of an unpaired adenosine, on the BPS, which initiates a nucleophilic attack at the intronic 5' splice site, thus starting the first of two transesterification reactions that mediate splicing. The record is from Rfam by way of RNAcentral. Lineage: Eukaryota; Metazoa; Chordata; Amphibia; Anura; Pipidae.
AUCGCGUCUUGGCCUUUUGGCUAAGAUCAAGUGUAGUAUCGAAUUUAGAAACACUUGGUUCUAGGUUGCCAAGCGGAAGCUUUAUGAAAGUGGAGGAGCUGUGUUGCCAUAAGGGAGAGCUGCUGGCUUAUUUUAGUCAGGGGCUUUGCACAUGCUCCUUCUGCUUAAUCAUGCU